RNAcentral lists this ribosomal RNA (491 nucleotides) under uncultured bacterium. Its description in RNAcentral is "partial 16S ribosomal RNA". It matches the Rfam family "Bacterial small subunit ribosomal RNA", at positions 29 to 507 of the family's 1533-position model. The record is from RNAcentral.
AUGCACGCUAGCUACAGGCUUAACACAUGCAAGUCGAGGGGCAGCGGUAUCGAAAGCUUGCUUUCGGUAGCCGGCGACCGGCGCACGGGUGAGUAACGCGUAUCGAACCUGCCUCAUACUCGGGAAUAGCCUUGCGAAAGUAAGAUUAAUGCCCGGUGUUUUCAGAGUCCCGCAUGAGGCUUUGAACAAAGAUUUAUCGGUAUGAGAUGGCGAUGCGUCCCAUUAGCUUGUUGGCGGGGUAACGGCCCACCAAGGCAUCGAUGGGUAGGGGUUCUGAGAGGAAGGUCCCCCACAUUGGAACUGAGACACGGUCCAAACUCCUACGGGAGGCAGCAGUGAGGAAUAUUGGUCAAUGGGCGGAAGCCUGAACCAGCCAAGUAGCGUGCAGGAAGACGGCCCUCCGGGUUGUAAACUGCUUUUAGUUGGGAAUAAAACGGGGCUCGUGAGCCCCCUUGCAUGUACCAUCAGAAAAAGGACCGGCUAAUUCCGUG